UCGCGACCCCAGGUCAGGCGGGAUUACCCGCUGAGU
This 36-nucleotide ribosomal RNA is filed under the name Oxalis bifrons. Its description in RNAcentral is "partial 26S ribosomal RNA". The record is from RNAcentral. Lineage: Eukaryota; Viridiplantae; Streptophyta; Magnoliopsida; Oxalidales; Oxalidaceae.